RNAcentral lists this ribosomal RNA (506 nucleotides) under Listrura aff. nematopteryx AK-2020. Its description in RNAcentral is "partial 16S ribosomal RNA". It matches the Rfam family "Bacterial large subunit ribosomal RNA", at positions 1836 to 2557 of the family's 2925-position model. The record is from RNAcentral. Lineage: Eukaryota; Metazoa; Chordata; Actinopteri; Siluriformes; Trichomycteridae.
ACCCAAUGUAUAGGAGGUCUUGCCUGCCCAGUGACUACAAGUUAAACGGCCGCGGUAUUUUGACCGUGCAAAGGUAGCGCAAUCACUUGUCUUUUAAAUGAAGACCUGUAUGAAUGGUAGAACGAGGGCUUAACUGUCUCCCCCUUCAAGUCAAUGAAAUUGAUCUCCCCGUGCAGAAGCGGGCAUAAAAAUACAAGACGAGAAGACCCUUUGGAGCUUAAGAUGUAAAAUCAACUAUGUCAAGAGACAUUAAACUAAAUAGCUACUGAUUCUCAUCUUCGGUUGGGGCGACCACGGGAGACAACCAAGCUCCCACGCGGACUGGGGCAACCCCCAAAACUAAGAGAGACAUCUCUAAGUCGCAGAAUAUCUGACCAUAAAGAUCCGGCCACAGCCGAUCAACGGACCAAGUUACCCUAGGGAUAACAGCGCAAUCCCCUUCCAGAGUCCAUAUCGACAAGGGGGUUUACGACCUCGAUGUUGGAUCAGGACAUCCUAAUGGUGCA